AUUGAACGCUGGCGGCAGGCCUAACACAUGCAAGUCGAGCGGAGCGGCAGACGGGUGGGUAAUGCCUAGGAAUCUGCCUGGUAGUGGGGGAUAACGUCCGGAAACGGGCGCUAAUACCGCAUACUAUCAGAUGAGCCUAGGUCGGAUUGGCUAGCUGGUGGGGUAAAGGCCUUCCAGGGCGACGAUCCGGAACUGGUAUGAGCGGAUGAUCAGUAACACUGGAACUGAUACACGGUCCAGACUCCUACGGGAGGGAGCAGUGGGGAAGAUUGGACAAUGGGCGAAAGCCGGAUCCAGCCAGUCCGGGGGUGUUAAGAAGGGCGUUGGAUUGUAAAGCACUUUAAGUUGGGAGGCGGUACCAACAGAAUAAGCACCGGCUAACUUCGUGCCAGCCGCCGCGGUAAUAC
RNAcentral lists this ribosomal RNA (407 nucleotides) under uncultured bacterium. Its description in RNAcentral is "partial 16S ribosomal RNA". It matches the Rfam family "Bacterial small subunit ribosomal RNA", at positions 29 to 526 of the family's 1533-position model. The record is from RNAcentral.